This 76-nucleotide transfer RNA is filed under the name Yarrowia sp. B02. Its description in RNAcentral is "tRNA-Thr". It matches the Rfam family "tRNA". From Rfam's summary of the family: Transfer RNA (tRNA) molecules are approximately 80 nucleotides in length. The record is from RNAcentral. Lineage: Eukaryota; Fungi; Ascomycota; Dipodascomycetes; Dipodascales.
GCCCGUUUAGCUUAGGGGUAGAGCGUUGCACUUGUAUUAGAUGCAAAGGUCACUGGUUCGAUUCCAGUAUCGGGCA